UGGGGAAUUGUUCGCAAUGGGCGCAAGCCUGACGACGCAACGCCGCGUGGAGGAUGAAGACCUUCGGGUCGUAAACUCCUUUCGAUCGAGACGAAUGGCCUCCGGGUGAACAAUCCGGAGGAGUGACGGUACCGAGAGAAGAAGCCCCGGCUAACUCCGUGCCAGCAGCCGCGGUAAGACGGAAGGUGCAAGCGUUGCUCGGAAUCACUGGGCGUAAAGGGUGCGUAGGCGGCUGUGUAAGUCUGGCGUGAAAGCCCAGGGCUCAGCCCUGGAAGGGCGCUAGAAACUGCGCGGCUAGAGUGCCGGAGGGGAGAGUGGAAUUCCUGGUGUAGCGGUGAAAUGCGUAGAUAUCAGGAGGAAUACCGGUGGCGAAAGCGACUCUCUGGACGGCAACUGACGCUGAGGCACGAAAGCGUGGGGAGCAAACAGGAUUAGAUACCCCCGUAGUCCCUGAGCGGGCUGGCAAGGCG
RNAcentral lists this ribosomal RNA (470 nucleotides) under uncultured bacterium. RNAcentral describes it as "bacterial SSU rRNA". It matches the Rfam family "Bacterial small subunit ribosomal RNA", at positions 355 to 822 of the family's 1533-position model. The record is from RNAcentral.